Molecule: long non-coding RNA, 875 nt
Organism: Herpailurus yagouaroundi (jaguarundi)
Lineage: Eukaryota; Metazoa; Chordata; Mammalia; Carnivora; Felidae
Exons: 2
Source: RefSeq, a predicted model, not a curated record
UGGACUUGAGAAUUAUAUGUAAUGCAAUUCUAUUGAAAAGAAAUAUAGGUACCUGAUCCAUGCCUCCUAACUUUAUCUUUGGUUUUGCUGGGUUUUGUUUGAUUCUUUUACCUCAGGUGCACAUAAGGUUUUGGCUUUUUUUUUUUUUUUAAAGAUGUUAUUUUAAGUAAUCUCUGCACUCAACAUGGGGCUUGAACUCACAAAGCCAAGAUCAGGAGUUGGAUACUCCACUGACUGAGCCAGCCAGGUGCCCCUCAGGUGCAUAUAAGUGAUAUAAAUAACAGCACUUCUACAUUAGGUUACUUAGCUGGUUAGUGUACUAGAUUUUGAUAUUAUAAAAUAAUAUCAAGAUUAUAUUUCUUAUCUAUUGAUAUCAGGCAUGGCAAUGUAUAAAAGUGACAUAGCCAGUUCAAAGCAGAAGCUUUAAGAGCUGUUGAAUGGUUUCACCAUCUCUUUUUUCCCUCUGCCACAAGACUUUUAUGUUCUGUGUAAGUGCUGCUUCUUCAACCUAGGUUCUGGAAUAAAGGUGGUAUGGAACAGAACAGCUGCCAACUUACAAUGGACAUGGAUAUGAGAAAUAAUUCCUUGUUGUUGAAUGGAGUUCCUGGGCAUGUAAAUGUUCAACCACAGAAGAUAAAACGAAAUAUUUUACAAGAUGGCCUACUCAUUUAAGUUCCUACAAGUAAUUAACAACUGAACUUGGGAACACGCAUCCUCUCCAACACUUGGUAUUUGUAUUGAAUAGCUUCUAUUUGCCCCUCCCCAUCAAUUCUGUACCCUUUUCACCCUACUCUAUGCCCCAGAGGCUGACUUGUAUGGAUUUCAUCAAUGUCAGGUAUGUAUAUAACAAAUAUACUUUCCUAAUUUGUACCUUG